UCCUUGGUAGUAUAGUAGUUAGUAUUCCCGCCUGUCACACAGGUGACCGGGGUUCAAUUCCCUGCCAGGGAG
This 72-nucleotide transfer RNA is filed under the name Cordylochernes scorpioides. RNAcentral describes it as "tRNA-Asp". It matches the Rfam family "tRNA". From Rfam's summary of the family: Transfer RNA (tRNA) molecules are approximately 80 nucleotides in length. Their secondary structure includes four short double-helical elements and three loops (D, anti-codon, and T loops). Further hydrogen bonds mediate the characteristic L-shaped molecular structure. tRNAs have two regions of fundamental functional importance: the anti-codon, which is responsible for specific mRNA codon recognition, and the 3' end, to which the tRNAs corresponding amino acid is attached (by aminoacyl-tRNA synthetases). tRNAs cope with the degeneracy of the genetic code in two manners: having more than one tRNA (with a specific anti-codon) for a particular amino acid; and 'wobble' base-pairing, i.e. permitting non-standard base-pairing at the 3rd anti-codon position. The record is from RNAcentral. Lineage: Eukaryota; Metazoa; Arthropoda; Arachnida; Pseudoscorpiones; Chernetidae.